GAGUUUGAUCCUGGCUCAGAUUGAACGCUGGCGGCAGGCCUAACACAUGCAAGUCGAGCGGUAGAGAGGUGCUUGCACCUCUUGAGAGCGGCGGACGGGUGAGUAAUGCCUAGGAAUCUGCCUGGUAGUGGGGGAUAACGUUCAGAAACGAACGCUAAUACCGCAUACGUCCUACGGGAGAAAGCAGGGGACCUUCGGGCCUUGCGCUAUCAGAUGAGCCUAGGUCGGAUUAGCUAGUUGGUGAGGUAAUGGCUCACCAAGGCGACGAUCCGUAACUGGUCUGAGAGGAUGAUCAGUCACACUGGAACUGAGACACGGUCCAGACUCCUACGGGAGGCAGCAGUGGGGAAUAUUGGACAAUGGGCGAAAGCCUGAUCCAGCCAUGCCGCGUGUGUGAAGAAGGUCUUCGGAUUGUAAAGCACUUUAAGUUGGGAGGAAGGGUUGUAGAUUAAUACUCUGCAAUUUUGACGUUACCGACAGAAUAAGCACCGGCUAACUCUGUGCCAGCAGCCGCGGUAAUACAGAGGGUGCAAGCGUUAAUCGGAAUUACUGGGCGUAAAGCGCGCGUAGGUGGUUCGUUAAGUUGGAUGUGAAAGCCCCGGGCUUAACCUGGGAACUGCAUUCAAAACUGACGAGCUAGAGUAUGGUAGAGGGUGGUGGAAUUUCCUGUGUAGCGGUGAAAUGCGUAGAUAUAGGAAGGAACACCAGUGGCGAAGGCGACCACCUGGACUGAUACUGACACUGAGGUGCGAAAGCGUGGGGAGCAACAGGAUUAGAUACCCUGGUAGUCCACGCCGU
RNAcentral lists this ribosomal RNA (798 nucleotides) under uncultured bacterium. RNAcentral describes it as "bacterial SSU rRNA". It matches the Rfam family "Bacterial small subunit ribosomal RNA", at positions 9 to 803 of the family's 1533-position model. The record is from RNAcentral.